This 98-nucleotide signal recognition particle RNA is filed under the name Erysipelotrichaceae bacterium. RNAcentral describes it as "signal recognition particle sRNA small type". It matches the Rfam family "Bacterial small signal recognition particle RNA". Rfam says of the family: The signal recognition particle (SRP) is a universally conserved ribonucleoprotein involved in the co-translational targeting of proteins to membranes. Archaeal SRP consists of a 7S RNA and homologues of the eukaryotic SRP19 and SRP54 proteins. The record is from RNAcentral. Lineage: Bacteria; Bacillati; Bacillota; Erysipelotrichia; Erysipelotrichales; Erysipelotrichaceae.
UAAUGACAGAGGUACAACAAACAUAUUUGAACCAGGCUAGGUCCGGAAGGAAGCAACCUUAGAAAUCCCUGUUUGUGUGUACCUUUUAUUUAGCCGGA